RNAcentral lists this long non-coding RNA (907 nucleotides) under Nicotiana tabacum (common tobacco). RNAcentral's name for it is "long non-coding RNA (NTAB_LNC001035)". Lineage: Eukaryota; Viridiplantae; Streptophyta; Magnoliopsida; Solanales; Solanaceae. The record is from RNAcentral.
UCCUUGAAAACUAAGUGGCAUGAACCACCAUCAUCAACACAAUAUUGCCUUGAAAGUUCUACAACAGCUCUAGCAGCUAGGCUUGGAUGUUCUGCAAACUCAGCCGCUGCUUGAGCAGCAGUGGUAGCAUCCUUAAAUUUCAUAUUCCAAUUCUGCCUGCCAAUAGAAAAUUUACCAUCUCCAUGAAAUGAUUGCCCAUGUUCUAACGUUUUAUCCUUGAAACCUAAGUGGCAUGAACCAUCAUCAUCAACACAAUAUUUCUUUGAAAGUUCUACAACAGCUCUGGCAGCUUGGCUUGCAUGUUCUACAAACUCAGUCGCUGCUUGAGCAGCAGAGGUAGCAUCCUUAAAUUUCAUAUUCCAAUUCUUCCUGCCAAUAGAAAUAUUACCAUUACAACAUCUCUGGCAGCUAGGAUUGCAUGUUCUGGAAACUCAGCCACUCCUUGAGCAGCAAAGGUAGCAUCCUUAAAUUUCAUGUUUCAAUUCUACUUGUCAACAGAAAAAUUAACAUUAUCAUCUCCAGGAAAUGCUUGUCCAUGUUCCAACCUUUCAUCCUUGAAACCUAAGUGGCAUGAACCACCAUCAUCAACACAAUAUUGCCUUGAAAGUUCUACAACAACAUUGGCAGCUAGGCUUGGAUGUAAUGCAAACUCAGCCGCUGCUUGAGCAGCAGAGGUAGCAUCCUUAAAUUUCAUGUUCCAAAUCUGCCUGCCAAUAGAAAAUUUACCAUCUCCAGGAAAUUAUUGCCCAUGUUCCAACCUUUUAUCCUUGAAACCUAAGUGGCAUGAACCACCACCAUCAACACAAUAUUGCCUUGAAAGUUCUAUAACAACUCUUGUAGCUAGGCCUGCAUGUUCUGCAAACUCAGUCGCUACUUGAGCAGCAGUGGUAGCAUCCUUAAAUUUCAU